Long non-coding RNA from Apus apus (common swift), 4237 nucleotides. RefSeq lists it as uncharacterized. The transcript is spliced from 2 exons. The record is from RefSeq and is a predicted model, not a curated record. NCBI's taxonomy places the organism in Eukaryota, Metazoa, Chordata, Aves, Apodiformes, Apodidae.
UGUCAUUAAAGCUCUUGCACAGGUCACAGAGCAAGGCACAAUAGAAGAUUUUGCCACUAAUUAUUUCAAAACUAAAAGUGAACAUGUGCUCUCACACACAUACAUAUCCAGAUAUACAUUCAUGUAAAUAAUUUAUUUAUCAUACCUAUUUAUAAUACAUGAAUCUUUUAUAUUUUAUGGUGAUCCCAUUGCUGUUUGCAGAUUUACAUCUCUUAUUAAAUUCCCCAUGCAACAAAAACACCAGACUAUGGAAAUCUAUAGCCCUUACAAACUGACUCAAGUCUUGUACUCCAAGUGGUCUCACUGUCUGCAAUAUUCUUUUCUAAAUUGUGCCAUUACAUCCCACAAAUUGACUUGUAAUGAAAGGUAAUAUCUUUUUAUUCUCUUACAGCUUUGUGGGAGAAAGGAAGAAAGAAUCUGUCCCAUAAAGGACAGCACAACAGUUUCAGAGCUGAACUCUCUACCACAUACAUCUGUGUCUGCUGCUCUGCAGAUACAGACACAGCCAAUCUCAAGUCAGCCCUGUGAGAAGAUGGGGAUGUUUACUAUGUUGAAGAGAUCAGCAGUAGAUUUAGUGGAGAAAGUGAAGCCUUUGGGCAGAUGAAAAACAUUUCUAAAAAGUCUCGUUUCCAGGCAGAAAAUUUGACUAGUGAUGCAGAGAGCACAGCACAAGCUAAAAAUUGUUUGUGUGUGAAGACAAUGCCUCAUUGUCAAACCCAAUGAUGGGAAAUAGGAACAUUACGGGUUUUUUUUUGAGAAAUGGUUUCAAUAUUUAACCUGUUUUUUUUCUGCCCAUAGGACAAAAAUAAAUAAAUCUGUUCCGUCACCAGGAGAGAGCACAUUGACUCCCACUGCUUGCAUGGCCCUGCAGGUACAGCCAGCAGGAUCCCCUACAUAGGUUCCAUGAGUUCCUAGAAGGACCUUUAGAAGUCUCCGAGGAAGCAGUUCCUGCAGGAGAAAUUCCUUGCCACGAGUCCAAGCAAGAAGCCUGCAAAAGAGGAAAGCCAGUAAAGGUCUUUUCUAUACAUCCUUCCCACUGAAGAGAGAGCUAACACAAGCUGCUUCUUGCUUUAGCAUCCUCAAUGCCAGCAUUUACGUCAGCCGAGUCUUCACAGCUGACAACUGACGUCACUGGAGAGUCUGCAACAUUUCUACUAGGAAAGUCUCAGAAAAGAGAAGAUCUCUUUUCCCAAACAAACCAGAUUCUUCUCCCUCCCUAGUAUAUGCUAUGAAUGUGUUGGCCCCUCUCAGCAGCCGUGCCUAAUUGCAAGGUCACACCUCUCUUUAAUGAGUUUCCUAAAAGUUUCUUACAAGUUUCCUUAGCGACACAGGUAGGGCUUCGUUGAUCUCCAGCCAGGGCUGUCAUUAGAGGAGGAUGGGGUUCCAAUUUCUCAUUAAUGAAAAUUAUAAUUAUGUAGAGAUAAAGGAGAAAGAGAUGGUUCCAUGUUACUUUAAACAAAGAAGAGUCAAGGCCUUAUCUUAACUAUGCAUUGGCACUGCAAUGCGAAAUGGUCAUGCAAAAUUAAUUUUUAAUGUGUUCAAUUUAUAUUAAAAAUUUCUGCAAGUGUGUGAAUUUUUUUUCUAAGGCUGGAGUGCUACUUCAUUUACAAUAUUCCCUGAAGGUGUUUUUUUUUUUUUUUAAAGAGACUCUUAAACUGAAGCCAUUUUAAGGGUUUUAUGAGACAUUAUGUGAGCUUUCAUAUGCAAGUUAGUCGUUAAGUACCAGAUAUUAUAUUCUGUAAUAUGCUUAAGUGAUAUUAGAGGCUGUAUAUAGCCUGCAGUAAUGGCUAUUGCUGCUUUUUUAAUUUAUCAAGAAAAUGUUGCUUAAAUAAGGAGCAAAUCAGUGCUUGGGUGUAGAAAAUAUAAAUGGAAAGGAAGUAACAAUGUUGUUGUGACAUACCUUGCACUCUCAGAUUUACCAAGGAGCAAAACCAGGGUCUGCUUUCUCCUUCUAUUGAAACACAUGGCAAGUCCCAUCUAUGCAGUGCUGGAGAUAUCUGAAAAAGAGAAAUUUCACUGAAUAGUACUAAACAGUAUGGCCACUGCUCCUCAACACUUCAUGAGAAUUAAUAUUAUGCCUCUGGUAACCGGAUUAUUUUGUACAAUUCCUGCCAUUCAAACAAAGUAGCAUCUCAUACUUGGUCUUAAACGAGUGAAGUCUUUGAAUGUUCAGCCUACAAAGGGAAAUGUUUAUGCUGAGCUGGAUUCACUGGUCAAAGUAUAAAAGCUCGGAUGAAAGAACCCAAAAAACAACCCUCACAUGGUGAACAAACUUGGUAUUUUUUCUCCCCUCCUCCCCAUUGAAGAGUCAGAGGAACAAAAAAAAAAAACCAAACAAAACUUCAAUCUGACAAGCUUGUAGAAAUAUAAAAGUCAUUCAACUUUCCUUUCAAAUGUGCCUCUUGCUCCAUGUUCUGACACAGAAACAAAGUGUUUCUGUAGUUCUGCAGGGAAGUGGGACACAGGCACAUUUUACAGUGGCAGCCCUGAGCAAUGACACCUUAUUCUGCCCCAACCACAGAAGAGCUCCUGCUGGUUGCCAUGUUCCCCUCUAAGCCCGGACCACUCUUCUGUGCCCAGCUGCAAACUCCCUCUUUCAUGCAGAGUUAUGAUUGAAGAAAUGUAUUUCAAAUGAAAAAUAAUCUUUUCCAUUUUCUUUCCCUCUACCCAGCUGCUGAUUCCCCACCCUGAAUCCUGUUCUGGAGCUGUGAUUAAUACUUUUUUUAAUUUAUUUUUUUCUUUUCAAAAUCACAUCAUCCUUCUCUUGCUGUCCCUGCCUCUCCUCUCCCUCCUCCUCUUCUCAGUCUUCCUCACAGUUGUGGAUCCUCCCUUCUUCCUCCAGUCACCAUCACUGUUGUCCCUGCUCUCCUCCCUCCCCCAGCUUGCUGAAACAUUUCAGGGAAAAGCAAUCCAGCUUCAUCCAGGCUUUAUGGCACUGCCUCUCCUCUUGCCUGCACUUACCCUCACUGCCUGCCUCUGGGAGGAACAAGACCCUCAGCACACUGGAACCCUCCUUCCUAACGAACCACCUUGCAAACGAGCACCAAGUUAGGCACCAAAUCAUCAAUAUGGACCUCAGCAAGCCCCAGCAGAGGGAUUUGAGGACCCUCCAUUGAAGAGCAAUUUUGCAGGGAACACAUGGGCUCUCCAACAUGAUGCAGCAAGAGCCCAGGAUAAACAUCUCCAGGCUCCCUCCUCCUGGUCUCCACCUGCUCCAUGACCUCACGCAGAAUGCCUGAAAUCUGGGUAAUGCAAAAAAUCAGUGGUCCAGAGGGACCUUCUUGGCAAGGAGGAGUUAGUCAUGGAGCAACAGGUCUGUGCUCCAGGGGAGAGGAGGUCAGGAAAGGGUUAGCCACUUUUUCUUGCAGGAUAAAGCUUCCCUUGGCCAUUUUUUUUCAGUUUAUGACUACUAAGAAUUCUCUUAAUGGACCAGAAAACUUGGCUUCAGCCUCCCCAGUCUACAGUAGCUAUCAGGAGAACUAUAUAUUAGAGCCAGAUGACAAAAUGUGCCUCCUUUCAUCACAAAAUUUUCAUUGAUGGCUCCAUAAAGUAGUCUACAUGGGAAACACAGCAGGUUUUGGUGUCUACAGCCCAUACAUGGAGAUUUCUUGUGGUUAGAGGAGAAGAUGCUGCUGUGAACUGCCCAUCACACCUUCGUUGGCUUAGUUUUCUUUUCUCUGCGGAUGGUCCUGCAGUGCAUUCCCACCUUGCUUGGUUGGGAGAGUCACAGUGCACCAAAUCCACAUUUGACCUUUUCUGGUGCAAAUUCACAGGGAGCUUGGACUGGAAACUAACAGAAGAAAACAAAACAAGCAGAUAGAAAACAGCCAUAAAUGUAAUGAAUCAAUCAGCACCUGGAUCACCUCUUGAACCCGUUCUGCACCAGGCUCCCUCUCUGUGGUGACCCCAAGUAUUGGUCUUCUCUGCUGCAGACCCCCUUCCAGCUGUUCCCAGGCUCUCAUUUCAGGAGCCAGCUUUCAUCCAGUUGAAAGCUCUUUCAUAUGUUCUAAGCCAUUUUAGCCUUUUCCCCACGGAUCUCUGUGCAAGUCUCUGUAUGCUGGUUCCCUGCUAGUGACCAUGCAGUCCAAGAGCAGCUCAGCUCUUCUACGGUCACCAGCUUAACGUGGAGCUUGAACUGGCUUAAUCCUUGAGAGGCAACACCAAGCAGCUGCUUCUCUUCUCCCUGCCAGCCCCUUUGCACACAUUUCAAUAAAGCAUUUUCACUUUCUUCACCUGA